This is a small nucleolar RNA of Erinaceus europaeus (western European hedgehog), 81 nucleotides long. Its record names the gene SNORD24. It matches the Rfam family "Small nucleolar RNA SNORD24". From Rfam's summary of the family: U24 is a member of the C/D class of snoRNA which contain the C (UGAUGA) and D (CUGA) box motifs. The record is from Ensembl. NCBI's taxonomy places the organism in Eukaryota, Metazoa, Chordata, Mammalia, Eulipotyphla, Erinaceidae.
UGCAGAGGAUGUGAAAGAAUAUUUGCUAUCUGAGAGAUAGUGAUGACAUUCCAGACCAAAAUAAAAGAAAACUUUAAUGCU